CCUACGGGGGUCAGCCGUGGGGGAUAUUGCACAAUGGGGGGAACCCUGAUGCAGCGAAGCCGCGUGGGUGCAGAAGCGCCUCGGCGCGUAACGACCUGUCAGCAGGGAAGAAAAUGACGGUACCUGAAGAAGAAGCCCCGGCUAACUACGGACCAGCAGCCGCGGUAAUACGUCGGGGGCAAGCGUUAUCCGGAUUUACUGGGGGUAAAGGGGGCGCAGACGGCGGUGCAAGCCAGGAGUGAAAGCCCGGGGCACAACCCCGUGAAUGCUCGUGGAACUGCGUGGCUGGAGUGGAGGAGGGGCAGGCGGAAUUCCUGUUGUAGCGGUGAAAUGCGUAGAGAUCAGGAGGAGCACCGGUGGCGAAGGCGGCCUGCUGGACUGCAACUGACGUUGAGGCCCGAAAGCGUGGGGAGCAAACAGGAUUAGAUACCCGAGUAGUC
Molecule: ribosomal RNA, 440 nt
Filed under: uncultured bacterium
Lineage: Bacteria
Description: partial 16S ribosomal RNA
Rfam family: Bacterial small subunit ribosomal RNA
Source: RNAcentral